GACGAACGCUGGCGGCGUGCUUAACACAUGCAAGUCGAACGGAAAGGCCCUGCUUUUGUGGGGUGCUCGAGUGGCGCACGGGUGAGUAACGCGUGAGUAACCUGCCCUUGUCUUUGGGAUAACUUCAGGAAACUGGGGCUAAUACCGGAUAGGAGCUCCUGCUGCAUGGUGGGGGAUGGAAAGUGUCGGCGGUUGGGGAUGGACUCGCGGCUUAUGAGCUUGUUGGUGGGGUAGUGGCUUCCCAAGGCUUUGAAGGGUAGCCGGCCUGAGAGGGUGACCGGGCACAUUGGGCCUGAGGUACGCCGCAGACGGCUACGGGAGGCAGCAGUCGGGAACAUGGCACAAUGGGCGGAAGUGUGAUGCAGCGACGCCGCGAGCGGGAUGACGGCCUUCGGGUGGUAAACCGCUGUCGCCUGUGACGAAGCGGGAGUGACGGUAAUGGGUAAAGAAGCACCGGCUAACUACGUG
Molecule: ribosomal RNA, 468 nt
Filed under: uncultured bacterium
Lineage: Bacteria
Description: partial 16S ribosomal RNA
Rfam family: Bacterial small subunit ribosomal RNA
Source: RNAcentral